Piliocolobus tephrosceles (Ugandan red Colobus) is the source of this 103-nucleotide small nuclear RNA. NCBI's taxonomy places the organism in Eukaryota, Metazoa, Chordata, Mammalia, Primates, Cercopithecidae. The record is from Ensembl.
GUGCUCACUUCGGCAGCAAGUAUACUAAAACUGGAAUGAUACAGAGAUUAUAUGGUCCCUGUACAAGGAUGACAUGCAAAUUUGUGAAGCGUUUCAUUAAAAA